AUAAUAUUAUUGAGAUUAUUUGAGUGGGAGUUAUUAAUUAAAAUAAUUUUUGAAUUAAAGUUUUAGUAUAGUUUAUAGAAUUUAUAAAGUGAAUAAUAGAAUAUUAGUACUGUGGUGGAAAUAUGAAAUAAAAGUGAAAUAGUUAUUAGUAUAAAAGAAGGAUAAAAUUUGUACCUUGGGUGUCAGGGUUUAUUAAUUAAUAAUAAUGAUUUAUAGUUCCCGAAUUAAAAAGAGUUAAAAUGGUAUGGUAGUUAAUGUGUUAUUAUUAUUAGAAAUAUUAUUUUAGUAAUGAAAUGUUAGACGUUUUUUAAGUUAUCUGGUUUUUCAAGAAAUGAAUUUAAUUCAUGUUAUUGUGAGUAAAUAGAUUAAUUGUAAUUAAUGAUUUAUUUCAUAUAACAAAUAUAUAAAGGGAUAAGCUUUUAUAUAAAGAUUAUAAAUUAUGGAAUUUACAAAGAGUAAUAAGCUUUAGAUUAGCUAUUAAUUGAAUAAUGUUAUAAUUUGUCUUGUGGUAUAGGUUAUUUUUAAUAAUUUUAGUUUGUCUAUUGAAAUGCUGUAUUUAAUAGAUAAAUAUAAGUAAUAAUGAUGAAAUGAGUAUAUAAAUGUGUUUAUUGUAGUUUUUAUGAGAAUUUAUAAUAAGGAACUAGGCAAAUUAUCACUCGCCUGUUUAUCAAAAACAUCUCCUUUUGUUUGUAUUUAAGGUAGGGCCUGCCCACUGAAAGUCUUUGAAGGGCCGCGGUAUUAUGACCGUGCAAAGGUAGCAUAAUCAUUAGUCUUUUAAUUGAAGGCUGGAAUGAAUGGUUUGACGAGGUGAUAACUGUCUCGGUAUAAUAAAUGGAAAUUAACUUUUAAGUUAAAAGGCUUAAAUUUUAAUGUAGGACGAGAAGACCCUAUAGAGUUUUAUAUAUAUAUAUUUGAAUUUGUAUUUAGGAGUUUAUGAUAAUUUGGGUUGAUUAUAUUGUGUUGGGGUGACAUAAAGGUAUAAAUAACUCUUUAUUUUUUGGAACAUUAAUUUAUGGAUGGUUGAUCCAUUUUUAGUGAUCAUAAGAUUAAGUUACCUUAGGGAUAACAGCGUAAUUUUUCUUGAGAGUUCAUAUCAACAGAGAAGAUUGCGACCUCGAUGUUGGAUUAAGAAAUAUAAUUAGAUGCAGCAGUUUAAUUAAUAGGUCUGUUCGACCUUUAAAUUCUUACAUGAUCUGAGUUCAGACCGGUGUAAGCCAGGUCGGUUUCUAUCCUUAUUAAAUUUGGAUACUUUAGUACGAAAGGACCAAGUAUUUUAAAUAUUUUAUUAUGUUUGAUUAUUAUUAA
This 1305-nucleotide ribosomal RNA is filed under the name Poecilimon bifenestratus. RNAcentral's name for it is "16S ribosomal RNA". The stretch from base 549 to 1305 matches the Rfam family "Archaeal large subunit ribosomal RNA", at positions 1423 to 2805 of the family's 2987-position model. Lineage: Eukaryota; Metazoa; Arthropoda; Insecta; Orthoptera; Tettigoniidae. The record is from RNAcentral.